CGUGUAGGCGGUGCGGUAAGUUGGGCGUGAAAUCCCCGAGCUUAACUCGGGUGGGCCGUUCAAGACUGCCGUGCUAGGGUGCGGGAGAGGGAAGUGGAAUUUCCGGUGUAGCGGUGAAAUGCGUAGAUAUCGGGAGGAACACCCGCGGCGAAGGCGGCUUCCUGGACCGUAACCGACGCUGAGGCGCGAAAGCUGGGGGAGCGAACGGGAUUAGAUACCCCGGUAGUCCCAGCCGUAAACGGUGAACACUAGGUGUGGGGAGUAUCGACCCUCUCCGUGCCGCAGCUAACGCAUUAAGUGUUCCGCCUGGGGAGUACGGUCGCAAGGCUGAA
RNAcentral lists this ribosomal RNA (332 nucleotides) under uncultured bacterium. RNAcentral's name for it is "bacterial SSU rRNA". It matches the Rfam family "Bacterial small subunit ribosomal RNA", at positions 568 to 898 of the family's 1533-position model. The record is from RNAcentral.